CUCUCUCGAUUCAGAAAAACCUAACCCGAUUUCCAUCCACCGUAACACCAUCCUCACCGACGCAACCUCCACCAUUCCGACAACCACUUGCCGCCGCCGAUAACGGCCUUCACCACCGUACUCUCAUUCAGGCCAUCGUACUCUCGCUCACACCGUUGUGGAGGUACGUUUUUCUCCUUCUCUCAUUUCCUAUCCCAUUUUACUCCCUCUCUCUGCAAACCUAAUUUGUGACGUGUAACUUUGGAGUGUUUUGAUAUUGUUUUUUUAUUUACCAUCAUUAUUAUUAUUUUUAUAUCUCCUUCUCUCAUUUCCUAUCCCAUUUUACUCCCUCUCUCUGCAAACCUAAUUUGUGACGUGUAACUUUGGAGUGUUU
This 373-nucleotide long non-coding RNA is filed under the name Lathyrus oleraceus (garden pea). RNAcentral's name for it is "Pisum sativum (pea) long non-coding RNA (PSAT_LNC038640)". The record is from RNAcentral. Lineage: Eukaryota; Viridiplantae; Streptophyta; Magnoliopsida; Fabales; Fabaceae.